Molecule: long non-coding RNA, 217 nt
Filed under: Gallus gallus (chicken)
Lineage: Eukaryota; Metazoa; Chordata; Aves; Galliformes; Phasianidae
Source: RNAcentral
CUGAACUGGAACUUGGAACUCACCCAGUGGCUGGUCAACAAAGGUUCAGGAAUAAGACUCACCCUUAGAACUCCUUGGCAUCUGGAGAAUGAAGGAGGCCACUGCAAUUCUUUUCUGAACAACCUCUUCUAUAGUAUGUCCACCGCAUCCUCUCAGGCUCUCCUUACUGACUGUACAUGAAAGCUGCUUGAUGAAUAUUCUCAAAAGUCACUUUUCC